This 403-nucleotide ribosomal RNA is filed under the name uncultured bacterium. RNAcentral describes it as "partial 16S ribosomal RNA". It matches the Rfam family "Bacterial small subunit ribosomal RNA", at positions 28 to 526 of the family's 1533-position model. The record is from RNAcentral.
GACGAACGCUGGCGGCGUGCCUAAUACAUGCAAGUCGAACGCAGUGGGUACGGGUGAGUAACACGUGGGUAACCUCCCAUCAGAGGGGAUAACACUUGGAAACAGGUGCUAAACCGAUACUGAUGGAUGGACCCGCGGUGCAUUAGCUAGUUGGUGAGGUAACGGCGCACCAAGGCCACGAUGCAUAGCGGGCCUGAGAGGGGGAGCGGCCACACUGGGACUGAGAAACGGCCCAGACUCCUACGGGAGGCAGCAGUGGGGAAUCUUGGACAAUGGACGAAAGUCUGACGGAGCAACGCCGCGGGAGUGAAGAAGGUUUGCGGAUCGUAAAACUCUGUUGUGAGAGAAGCGGUAUCUAACCAGAAAGCCACGGCUAACUACGUGCCAGCAGCCGCGGUAAUUC